AUUAAAGAUGAAGAGGAGGAGGAGAAGAUUGGGAAAUCUGUUAAUCAUGGAGACCAUGUUGAGACAUUCUCUACAUCCAGAGAGCAUCAGCAGGAAAAUCACAGAGCAAAGAGGUCUCACCACUGCUCACAUUGUGAGGAGAUUUUCCCAUUUCUAUCAAAGCUAAAAAUACACCUAAAAAUACACACAGGAGAAAAGCUUUACUCCUGCUCUGAAUGUGGAAAAUGCUU
Molecule: long non-coding RNA, 230 nt
Organism: Salvelinus namaycush (lake trout)
Lineage: Eukaryota; Metazoa; Chordata; Actinopteri; Salmoniformes; Salmonidae
Exons: 2
Source: RefSeq, a predicted model, not a curated record